AACAGGAUUAGAUACCCUGGUAGUCCACGCUGUAAACGAUGUCGACUUGGAGGUUGUGCCCUUGAGGCGUGGCUUCCGGAGCUAACGCGUUAAGUCGACCGCCUGGGGAGUACGGCCGCAAGGUUAAAACUCAAAUGAAUUGACGGGGGCCCGCACAAGCGGUGGAGCGUGUGGUUUAAUUCGAUGCAACGCGAAGAACCUUACCUACUCUUGACAUCCAGAGAAUUUGCUAGAGAUAGCUUAGUGCCUUCGGGAACUCUGAGACAGGUGCUGCAUGGCUGCCGUCAGCUCGUGUUGUGAAAUGUUGGGUUAAGUCCCGCAACGAGCGCAACCCUUAUCCUUUGUUGCCAGCACGUAAUGGUGGGAACUCAAAGGAGACUGCCGGUGAUAAACCGGAGGAAGGUGGGGAUGACGUCAAGUCAUCAUGGCCCUUACGAGUAGGGCUACACACGUGCUACAAUGGCAUAUACAAAGAGAAGCGAACUCGCGAGAGCAAGCGGACCUCAUAAAGUAUGUCGUAGUCCGGAUUGGAGUCUGCAACUCGACUCCAUGAAGUCGGAAUCGCUAGUAAUCGUAGAUCAGAAUGCUACGGUGAAUACGCUCCCGGGCCUUGUACACACCGCCCGUCACACCAUGGGGGUGGGUUGCAAAAGAAGUAGGUAGCUUAACCUUCGGGAGGGCGCUUACCACUUUGUGAUUCAUGACUGGGGUGAAGUCGUAACAAGGUAACC
This 731-nucleotide ribosomal RNA is filed under the name uncultured bacterium. RNAcentral's name for it is "bacterial SSU rRNA". It matches the Rfam family "Bacterial small subunit ribosomal RNA", at positions 771 to 1501 of the family's 1533-position model. The record is from RNAcentral.